UUCAACAAAAAAAUUUUCUCA
This is a non-coding RNA of Caenorhabditis elegans, 21 nucleotides long. The record is from Ensembl. NCBI's taxonomy places the organism in Eukaryota, Metazoa, Nematoda, Chromadorea, Rhabditida, Rhabditidae.